Molecule: ribosomal RNA, 1583 nt
Filed under: metagenome
Description: bacterial LSU rRNA
Rfam family: Bacterial large subunit ribosomal RNA
Source: RNAcentral
GAGAGAAAGGUGAGAAUCCUUUCGGCCGAAUAUCCAAGGUUUCCAGGGUAAAGCUGAUCUGCCCUGGGUAAGUCGGGGCCUAAGGCGAGGCAGAAAUGCGUAGUCGAUGGACAGCAGGUUGAGAUUCCUGCACCCGUAAUGAACAGAACUGUAGUGACACGGAAGGUAAGACAGAGCCGGGAAUGAGAAAACCGGUGCAAGCACAAUAGAUGUGUGGGAGGAAAAACCCCCGCAUAAGUCGAAGGUGUGACGCGGACCGAAAAAGAGUAGGGAAGCUGUUAAGCAAGCCGUCAAGAAAAGCUGCUAUUGUUUCAUUAUGGCCCGUACCGUAAACCGACACAGGUGGAUGGGGAGAGAAUCCUAAGGUCGGCGGAAGAAGUAUUGUUAAGGAACUCGGCGAAAUGACCCCGUAACUUCGGGAGAAGGGGUGCCUGCGAGAGCAGGCCGCAGAGAAGAGGCCCAAGCAACUGUUUAGCAAAAACACAGGUCUAUGCAAAACCGAAAGGUGAGGUAUGUGGGCUGACGCCUGCCCGGUGCUGGAAGGUUAAGGGGAGUGGUCAGGAAACGAAGCCACGAACUUAAGCCCCAGUAAACGGCGGCCGUAACAAUAACGGUCCUAAGGUAGCGAAAUUCCUUGUCGGGUAAGUUCCGACCCGCACGAAAGGCGUAAUGAUUUGGGCGCUGUCUCGACAAUACAUCCGGUGAAAUUGAAGUGCCAGUGAAGAUGCUGGCUACCUGCGCCAGGACGGAAAGACCCCAUGGAGCUUUACUCCAGCUUGAUACUGGGACCCGGUAUUGCAUGUACAGGAUAGGUGGGAGGCUAGGAAAUGUGGACGCCAGUCUGCAUGGAGCCGCUGUUGGGAUACCACCCUUGUGGUGCUGGGUUUCUAACCAGAGGCCGUGAACCGGUCUGGGGACAAUGUCAGGUGGGGAGUUUGACUGGGGCGGUCGCCUCCGAAAGGGUAUCGGAGGCGCCCAAAGGUUCCCUCAGAAUGGUUGGAAACCAUUCGAAGAGUGCAAAGGCAGAAGGGAGCUUGACUGCGACACCGACGGGUGGAGCAGGUACGAAAGUAGGGCUUAGUGAUCCGGUGGAAUUUAAGUGGGAAUGCCAUCGCUCAACGGAUAAAAGCUACCCUGGGAUAACAGGCUGAUCACUCCCAAGAGUUCACAUCGACGGAGCUUGGCACCUCGAUGUCGGCUCAUCGCAUCCUGGGGCUGAAGUCGGUCCCAAGGGUUGGGCUGUUCGCCCAUUAGAGCGGUACGCGAGCUGGGUUCAGAACGUCGUGAGACAGUUCGGUCCCUAUCCGGCGUGGGCGUAGGAUAUCUGAGAGGAGCUGUCCUUAGUACGAGAGGACCGGGAUGGACUGACCUCUGGUGUACCGGUUGGCGAUCAACGCCACGGCCGGGUAGCCAUGUCGGGACGGGAUAAACGCUGAAGGCAUCUAAGCGUGAAGCCCCCCUCAAGAUGAGAUAUCCCAUUCGAAAGAAGUAAGACCCCUUGAAGACGACGAGGUUGAUAGGGCAGGGGUGGAAGUGCUGUAAGGCAUGGAGCUGACUGCUACUAAUCGGUCGAGGGCUUGAUC